Molecule: long non-coding RNA, 1192 nt
Filed under: Ursus americanus (American black bear)
Lineage: Eukaryota; Metazoa; Chordata; Mammalia; Carnivora; Ursidae
Description: lncRNA (ENSUAMG00000023300.1)
Source: RNAcentral
AGAGGUCCUAGUUUUAGCCCAGACUGGAGGACCGGACCAGCCUGGAGUUGAUUUGCUUGGGGCCAGAGGAGGAGCGCUGGAAAGAGAGGAAAAAACCGAGACCACCCCUGGGAAGAUGAAUAGGUAGGACUGCCCAAGGCCCAAUCAUGACCCCAGCCUCCGUUCUUCUAUCCGUCUGACUCUAAAGGUGGAAAGCUGGUCAAGGUAGCCUGCGAGACAAGACGUGGGCACUUUGGUGGGGGAAGGGACGGUCCGUCUCUGCUCAGCCCAGGGAACGCGGCCACUGUGGCCCCGGAACAAUUCAGUUUGGGGAGGUGGUAAAGAGCGCCCCAGGGGACGCGGGCACGGACGCCCCUUGGUCGUGGGCGAGGCCUUCGCGGCUUCAGCAAGCAGCGGGAAACUGCCCCGGGAGACACCCUAGGAGGGCUUCCUGACAGGCCGGGUGAGCCUUCGAGGCUGGAAGAGACUCCCCAACAAGAGGACCACUACAGUUUUUGCGGGCCCUUCUGUCUGCGCGUGCGCGCCAGACGCGGGUCCCGCCCGGACAGGAAGGGACCCUGGAGAUCAGUUAGCGGUGGAAGACUAACACCAAUACGCCAGCGUUAUUAAACUAGCACGGAGGAGACCCAAUCACCGGGAGAAUAACUUGCGACUUCCGGCCGAGCAGACGGUGCAACCCCUUCGCUUCCGGCCGCGGCCGCCCGCGCCUGCGCACUGGGGGCUAGUCAACCCCUGGAGGAGCGUACCAUCCGCAGGCGGAGAGAUUCAUGUAGAGGCUCUCCACAGUGUCAGCCUCAUAGUCAUCAUCCCGGUGUGCUUCGGUGGAAGGGAGAGCGGUGGUCUGACCGUCGCUGCCGGUGAUUGCACAAGACCCCAGAUCUACCCAGGGAGUCCGUCUGGAGUUGAGGAUCCUGAAGUGUAGCCUAAGUGAGGCAGGUCUGGCGCAGGCCCAGUUUCAUAGCCUGCUCCGAGUUCUCAGUGGGGACGAUGCCUACAGACUGCUUCCGGAGGCCCGCGGCCAGCUCUCCUCUCCCGCUGUGUCACUGAUUAUCACGCUCCUACUCUGGAUUUCCAAUUCUUCCACCAUAAAGUCAGAGCUGAGGUAAGCCCGCUCCAGUUCUGACAUCUCAGGGCACUUCUGGGACCAGAACGGUGUCUCCCAUCUCAUCGGAGACCUCGUCCAGCCCAUCCG